RNAcentral lists this ribosomal RNA (596 nucleotides) under bacterium enrichment culture clone F61x_D84_T3_D11. RNAcentral describes it as "bacterial SSU rRNA". It matches the Rfam family "Bacterial small subunit ribosomal RNA", at positions 19 to 610 of the family's 1533-position model. The record is from RNAcentral.
CUGGCUCAGAUUGAACGCUGGCGGCAUGCCUUACACAUGCAAGUCGAACGGCAGCGCGGGGCAACCUGGCGGCGAGUGGCGAACGGGUGAGUAAUAUAUCGGAACGUACCCUGGAGUGGGGGAUAACGUAGCGAAAGUUACGCUAAUACCGCAUACGAUCUAAGGAUGAAAGUGGGGGAUUCGCAAGAACCUCAUGCUCCUGGAGCGGCCGAUAUCUGAUUAGCUAGUUGGUGGGGUAAAGGCCUACCAAGGCAUCGAUCAGUAGCUGGUCUGAGAGGACGACCAGCCACACUGGAACUGAGACACGGUCCAGACUCCUACGGGAGGCAGCAGUGGGGAAUUUUGGACAAUGGGCGCAAGCCUGAUCCAGCAAUGCCGCGUGAGUGAAGAAGGCCUUCGGGUUGUAAAGCUCUUUUGUCAGGGAAGAAACGGUGAAGGCUAAUAUCNUUUGCUAAUGACGGUACCUGAAGAAUAAGCACCGGCUAACUACGUGNNNGCAGCCGCGGUAAUACGUAGGGUGCAAGCGUUAAUCGGAAUUACUGGGCGUAAAGCGUGCGCAGGCGGUUUUGUAAGUUUGUCGUGAAAUCNNNGGGCUC